Molecule: long non-coding RNA, 2170 nt
Filed under: Marmota monax (woodchuck)
Lineage: Eukaryota; Metazoa; Chordata; Mammalia; Rodentia; Sciuridae
Source: RNAcentral
GGGAGCACAAGGGGACCAGUGGGGAGGUCAGCGCGUCAAGCUUUCCUGUGAACAUGUAGGAAACAAGCAAAAAACCUUUCCCUGGAGUUGGGCUUCUGGCGGGGGUUUUUCUCAGGGAGCCGGGGAGAAUGCAGACAGACUGCUGCGUGCAGGCUGACGAGGGGCAGAGUGCACCUCAACGUCUGAGCCAAGGGCGCCACAGACCAAGCUCCAAGGAACCAGGAGUCUGGGAGAGCAUCCAGCUUCUGCAGGCCACAGGACUUGCAGGGCUCUGAGCCAAGUUUACCCAGACCCCCAAAGACCUCUGUUACCAACCCUGCGAACAUAAGGUGAAUAACUUUAUGAUCUUAAAUAAGGUGAAAUGGGCUUGCUGGUGGAGUGCCUGCCUAGUUAUGCAUGGGCUCGGCUUCCACCCUCCGCACCAUACACAUGGAUGCACAUUCAAUCUUAAAGUUCAGUAAAUUAAAAUGUGCAAACUGCAUGUUUUAAUUAUUCCCACAUUUUAAUUAAUUCUCGAUUUUAAUCAUUCCCACAUUUCAAAGCUUUAAAGUGAAGACACAUGAACAACCCACAGAUCCCAGGGCCUAUGUGCAAACAUAUGCUGGCAUGACUUUGGUGUCAGUCUACAUGAAAGAUGACUUAUGCCCAAGCCACUAUUCAGAUGCAGCCUGUGCACUUAAGUAUGUUUUUAGAGAAAAUGCACCGAUGUAGAUUCCUCUUAUAGGUGACUUUAUACUGUAUAGAGUGUUUGGUGUGUACCCUGCCAUUUGUACUUGCUAAAUAAUGCUUCUGGAAACAGGUUCACUUAGACUGACUCUCCUUCUGCUCAGCUCUUGGCUGGCCUUGGUCCAAGUCUUCACAUGAGUUACGGAGGGAUGGUUGCAUUUAGAGAGGUUGAAAACCUAGGCUCUGUGGAUGGCGUAGGGAGGUCUGGACCUUCAGUAGUAUAAAGAUACAGUGUUCCUGGAUGCAUGUGUGUUUUAGGAGAGGACUUGGUUUACUCUGUGGCUUUCAUAGAUGAGGCACACUGUUGGGGGAAGUGGCCAAUAGAGCCACAUAGCCAGUCAUUAGGAGGACUUAGACAAAGGUGGGACCUGAAACCACAGCAAAUGAUGGCUGUUGUUCAAGUUUGGAUCUUAAGUGCUUCCCCAAUGGUCCAUGUGUUAAAGACUUGUCCCAAGCUGGGGCACUAAUGGGAGAUGGUGGGGCCCAGAGAGAGGUCUUCAGAUCAUUGGAGCCCAUUCCUCACAGGGGGUUCUGGACCUCCUCUUCCGUGUCUUGCUUGCCAGCCACGUGAGCUUGCCCCAUCCUGCACUCCACCAUGAUGCAUUGUCUCCCGGGAGCAGCCAGCCAGGCCACCGUGGACGGAAACCUCUCCACCCGCAAGCUUUUUCUUUUUGUAAAUUGAGUAUCUUAGGUAUUCGAUAGAGUAAUGAAAGCUGACUGACAUGGAUAUAAUAAAUGGAAGAAAAAAGGGCUGUGCUAUGGUGAAGAAAGAAAAACGCUGACAUGUAAUGAAAAGGUACGUGUGCCUGUGAUAUCACGCAGGACUCAGUUGGGCUGGGUUCUCCUACCGGACAAGAGUUAACGCAACCAGCUCGUUAAAGUCUAUAGGCGUGUCAGAGGGAGCUGUCUGGAAGUGGGGAGAAUGGACCCUGUGAAUGCAAGACAGUAGAUCUACAAUUGAGUCUGUCUUCUGGUUACAGAGGAGGUGUUCUGGCUAUAACAUUGGGGUAAGCUCCCCACUGCUGGAUUGAGCUGUUUCCGGUUGCUCAAAUAAACCUAUUCAUCACCUGGUUUUGUGCUUUCUCGUUUAAUUUCUGUGUCCCACUUUACUUGCCUGGAGCACAAGAGAGGUCAAUCUCUUUGUGUUUAAAUCAGCCAUGUUGAGCCUUCUUCCUGUCUGUUCUCAAAAUGUUGUUUUUACCUCUGGUACUACUCUUUCACCCCUGGGUGCCCUGUCCCCUUCCUGAGACAAGGUCAAGAUCCACAGAGACUUACUCCAAGUGAUAAGUCCUGUUUCUAAGAUCUUGUGGGAACAAACCAGAUAUUUGACCAGUAGACCAGCCGUCUGACUCCCGGUGUUCACUGUGGGCCACCUGUAGGAUCUGAAAGAACUGGGUUCUCUGCGUUGCUUACCAAGAAGCUCACUCGACCCUGUGAACAUCAG